GAAGCUGGGAGCAGAAGCCUGGGCUCUCGGCACCAGCCUCUUCUCCAGACCUCACUGCUGCCCUGGGUAUCAGCUAUGGAGGCACUUACUGCGACCGAGCUCUUCAGGGUGACCCUCUUCAGAAGCAAUAUUUUGGAUCAAACAUUCGAAAGUUAAGGAGCUCGAUUUUAGGCACGUCACGUUGGACGUUCCCAGGAGAAUCCAACUAGAGAUGUCAAACAGCUAUGUGUCUGGAGUUCAAGGAUGGACAAGUCUGCAUUUGGAUGGUAUGUGAAGCUGUG
Molecule: long non-coding RNA, 281 nt
Filed under: Bos grunniens (domestic yak)
Lineage: Eukaryota; Metazoa; Chordata; Mammalia; Artiodactyla; Bovidae
Description: lncRNA (ENSBGRG00000025255.1)
Source: RNAcentral